This 298-nucleotide ribosomal RNA is filed under the name Citrobacter freundii. RNAcentral's name for it is "partial 16S ribosomal RNA". It matches the Rfam family "Bacterial small subunit ribosomal RNA", at positions 992 to 1290 of the family's 1533-position model. Lineage: Bacteria; Pseudomonadati; Pseudomonadota; Gammaproteobacteria; Enterobacterales; Enterobacteriaceae. The record is from RNAcentral.
AGAACUUAGCAGAGAUGCUUUGGUGCCUUCGGGAACUCUGAGACAGGUGCUGCAUGGCUGUCGUCAGCUCGUGUUGUGAAAUGUUGGGUUAAGUCCCGCAACGAGCGCAACCCUUUUCCUUGGUUGCCAGCGAUUCGGUCGGGAACUCAAAGGAGACUGCCAGUGAUAAACUGGAGGAAGGUGGGGAUGACGUCAAGUCAUCAUGGCCCUUCCGAGUAGGGCUAAACACGUGCUACAAUGGCAUAUACAAAUAGAAGCGCCCUCGCGCGCGCAAGCGGACCUCAUAAAGUAUGUCGUA